Molecule: ribosomal RNA, 497 nt
Filed under: uncultured bacterium
Lineage: Bacteria
Description: partial 16S ribosomal RNA
Rfam family: Bacterial small subunit ribosomal RNA
Source: RNAcentral
GACGAACGCUGGCGGCGUGCCUAAUACAUGCAAGUAGAACGCUGAAGCGAGGAGCUUGCUCUUCUUGGAUGAGUCGCGAACGGGUGAGUAACGCGUAGGUAACCUGCCUUGUAGCGGGGGAUAACUAUUGGAAACGAUAGCUAAUACCGCAUAACAAUGGAUGACACAUGUCAUUUAUUUGAAAGGGGCAAUUGCUUCACUACAAGAUGGACCUGCGUUGUAUUAGCUAGUAGGUGAGGUAAUGGAUCACCUAGGCGACGAUACAUAGCCGACCUGAGAGGGUGAUCGGGAGCAGUGGGACUGGGAAACGGCCCAGAAUCCUACGGGGGGCGGCAGUAGGGAAGCUACGGGAAUGGGGGCAAACCUGACCGAGCAACUCCGAGAGAAUAAAGAAGGUAUUCGGAUCGAAGAGCUCUGUUGUAAGUCAAGAAAGGGUGUGAGAGUGGAAAGUUCACAAUGUGACGGUAGCUAACCAGAAAGGGACGGCUAACUACGUG